AAAACUACAACACAAACUACUUUAGUUACACCUGUUUCUUUUUUUCUGAUCAAUGAUCAGACGGAACGAAGACCCUUCCCUCCCUGCUGCUAUCUACAGGUAUGGUAUGUCUAGAAAAAAAAAAAAACCUUAAAAUACUGAUUCUAUUACAUCAGUUCCAAUGGUCACUCAAAUUUCCAAAAAUGCAAUCAGUUUAGAUCAUAGAUUUGGACAGCCAAAUGCUUUGUUAAGGAGCCAAAAUCCUCCCCUAAUUGAAAAAAAAGGGGAGUUGAAGUACUUCUCUAGCAUUUUCACUACUACUACAACAAACUGAAAUCUAAUUAAUCAUACCAACUUGUUUAUCACCAAUUUUACAAUAUUCCAUCUGAAUAAAUAAAGAAAUGAACAGAUUCACAAUUCCAAACUAAUGAUGCUUAAAAACGAAGGUAACCAUAGCCAAAACGAAAUUAAACAAAUAUUCACAGCUUUUUGCAAAAAGAUAAUUUCCCUUGAUAACUCCAGUAUAAUUUUCCUUGAUAACUCCAGUAAGUUAUAGAUACAACAAUCAAAAUCCACCAAAAUUAAAAAAAUAAUAAAAAAAAAAAGAGCAGCAUCAAUAGAAAAAAGAAAGAAGGUAAUCCAAUGACAUUAAAGACAUGUACAAGGGCAGCUACAAGUGUAAAAACAGGGAAAAGGGAUAUGAACAAGUUCCACAUAAUAGUGAUUUACACCAGGGAUCGGUUUCGUGUAUAUACUUGUUUACCUUAAUUAUGAACAAGCUAACUAGUCAUAUUCAAGAUGAUGUCCUAGAGUGCAUGCUUUUUGCAUAUGAUGUUGUCUUAGUACAUGAAACUAGUGAAAAAGUUAAACCAAAUGUUGGAGUUGCGAAGAGUAAAGGUUUUAGGCCAAGUAAAAGUAAGAUGGAACAUAUGCAUUGCAAGUUUAACUCUCGUAGAAUGAAUAGGAGAGAGUUUGAUUGGAUGGAGUUUUGGUGUCAAAAUACAACCAAUUCAAAUAUUUAAGCUCUAUUAUCCAGAAUAACAGAGUAACAAAUGAGUAUGUAACUCAUAAGAUAAAAACAUGAUGGAUGAAAUGGAGAGGUGGAAGGGGUGUGCUAUGCAACCGUAGGAUUCUUGACAAAGUGAAAGGUAAGUUUUGUAGAAUCGUAGUCAUGCUAACUAUGUUGUAUGGAAGUGAAUGUUAGGAAUCUAAAGAACAGCAUAUUCACAAAAUAAGUGUAGCAAAAAUGUAAAUGUUAAGAUAAAUAUUAAGUAACACGAUAAUGAAUUAUUAUGAAUGACAAACGAGGAUAAAAUGAGAGUUGGUUGAUUAAGAUAGUUUGAUCAUAUCCAACGCAGAGCAUCGAAUGCCUCAGCACAAAAGUGUGAUGAGUUAGUAAUAAAAAAAUUGAAAAGGGAAAAAGAAAGACUUAAAAUGACACAGAAAGAGAUAGCAUCAAAAGAUUUAGAUAUUAAUGCAAAAUUGAUUUCAAACAGAAUUAAAUGACCAAAAAAGAUUUAUAUAGCCGAUCGCAACUAAUUUGGGAUUAAGAUUUAGUUGUUGUGACAAUGGGCAUACAUUUUGGAACAUCCUAAAAGGAUAGUGACCAACCAUUGUGGGACAAAGGGAGUAAAUAAUAUUUUUCUAUCAAUCUGAACCUUCAAUGUCUAUCCUGACAAUCUGAUCAAGUUCAUUGGGGCUCUUUACUUCAACUGGUGAGGAAACAAUGGAAGAGAUGUAUAUGUUUAUCUGAGAAAGAGACUCACCUGAUCAAUUGUACCAUUAGGAAACAGCGAGUAAAACAGAAUCCCAUCGCCUUGCCGAGGUUUCACUUUUAAACCAACACAUUUUUUGUAAUCAUAGACUGAACCUAUUUGUAAGCCAUUCUCAAAAGGGAACAUGGUUUCUCCACCUUCUUCUACAUCAGAUAAAUACAACAAGAAAGAAGCAACCCUUUGGCUUGUCUGCGGACCAUAUUCAGCUGGGUUAAAUGAAUCAUAAUGUGAAUCAUAUUUCUGUCCAAUUUC
RNAcentral lists this unclassified non-coding RNA (2006 nucleotides) under Hevea brasiliensis (rubber tree). The record is from RNAcentral. Lineage: Eukaryota; Viridiplantae; Streptophyta; Magnoliopsida; Malpighiales; Euphorbiaceae.